This 513-nucleotide ribosomal RNA is filed under the name uncultured bacterium. Its description in RNAcentral is "partial 16S ribosomal RNA". The record is from RNAcentral.
GGAGUUAGCCGGUGCUUCUUCUGCGAGUAACGUCACAGAUGUAAGGUAUUAACUUACACCCUUUCCUCCUCGCUGAAAGUGCUUUACAACCCGAAGGCCUUCUUCACACACGCGGCAUGGCUGCAUCAGGGUUUCCCCCAUUGUGCAAUAUUCCCCACUGCUGCCUCCCGUAGGAGUCUGGGCCGUGUCUCAGUCCCAGUGUGGCUGAUCAUCCUCUCAGACCAGCUAGGGAUCGUCGCCUAGGUGAGCCUUUACCUCACCUACUAGCUAAUCCCACCUGGGCUUAUCCAUCAGCGCAAGGCCCGAAGGUCCCCUGCUUUCCCCCGGUAGGGCGUAUGCGGUAUUAGCAGUCGUUUCCAACUGUUAUCCCCCACAAAUGGGCAAAUUCCCAGGCAUUACUCACCCGUCCGCCGCUCGUCAUCUUCAAAAGCAAGCUUUUGAAAUGUUAACCGCUCGACUUGCAUGUGUUAGGCCUGCCGCCAGCGUUCAAUCUGAGCCAUGAUCAAACUCUGA